RNAcentral lists this ribosomal RNA (497 nucleotides) under uncultured bacterium. Its description in RNAcentral is "partial 16S ribosomal RNA". It matches the Rfam family "Bacterial small subunit ribosomal RNA", at positions 28 to 507 of the family's 1533-position model. The record is from RNAcentral.
GAUGAACGCUGGCGGCGUGCCUAAUACAUGCAAGUCGAGCGAACAGACGAGGAGCUUGCUCCUCUGACGUUAGCGGCGGACGGGUGAGUAACACGUGGAUAACCUACCUAUAAGACUGGGAUAACUUCGGGAAACCGGAGCUAAUACCGGAUAAUAUAUUGAACCGCAUGGUUCAAUAGUGAAAGACGGUUUUGCUGUCACUUAUAGAUGGAUCCGCGCCGCAUUAGCUAGUUGGUAAGGUAACGGCUUACCAAGGCAACGAUGCGUAGCCGACCUGAGAGGGUGAUCGGCCACACUGGAACUGAGACACGGUCCAGACUCCUACGGGAGGCAGCAGUAGGGAAUCUUCCGCAAUGGGCGAAAGCCUGACGGAACAACGCCGCGUGAGUGAUGAAGGUCUUCGGAUCGUAAAACUCUGUUAUUAGGGAAGAACAAAUGUGUAAGUAACUAUGCACGUCUUGACGGUACCUAAUCAGAAAGCCACGGCUAACUACGUG